Molecule: ribosomal RNA, 446 nt
Filed under: uncultured bacterium
Lineage: Bacteria
Description: bacterial SSU rRNA
Rfam family: Bacterial small subunit ribosomal RNA
Source: RNAcentral
CCCAGACUCCUACGGAGGCAGCAGUGGGGAAUAUUGCACAAUGGGGGAAACCCUGAUGCAGCGACGCCGCGUGAGUGAAGAAGUCAUUCGUGAUGUAAAGCUCUAUCAGCAGGGAAGAAAAUGACGGUACCUGACCAAGAAGCCCCGGCUAACUACGUGCCAGCAGCCGCGGUAAUACGUAGGGGGCAAGCGUUAUCCGGAUUUACUGGGUGUAAAGGGAGCGUAGACGGCAUGGCAAGUCUGGUGUGAAAGGCAGGGGCUCAACCCCUGGACUGCAUUGGAAACUGUCAGGCUGGAGUGCAGGAGAGGUAAGUGGAAUUCCUAGUGUAGCGGUGAAAUGCGUAGAUAUUAGGAGGAACACCAGUGGCGAAGGCGACUUACUGGACUGUAACUGACGUUGAGGCUCGAAAGCGUGGGGAGCAAACAGGAUUAGAUACCCCCGUAAC